Molecule: ribosomal RNA, 468 nt
Filed under: uncultured bacterium
Lineage: Bacteria
Description: partial 16S ribosomal RNA
Rfam family: Bacterial small subunit ribosomal RNA
Source: RNAcentral
GACGAACGCUGGCGGCGUGCUUAACGCAUGCAAGUCGAACGGAAAGGCCCUGCUUUUGUGGGGUGCUCGAGUGGCGAACGGGUGAGUAACACGUGAGUAACCUGCCCUUGACUUUGGGAUAACCUCAGGAAACUGGGGCUAAUACCGGAUAGGAGCUCCUGCUGCAUGGUGGGGGUUGGAAAGUUUCGGCGGUUGGGGAUGGACUCGCGGCUUAUCAGCUUGUUGGUGGGGUAGUGGCUUACCAAGGCUUUGACGGGUAGCCGGCCUGAGAGGGUGACCGGCCACAUUGGGACUGAGAUACGGCCCAGACUCCUACGGGAGGCAGCAGUGGAGAAUAUUGCACAAUGGGCGGAAGCCUGAUGCAGAAACGCCGCGUGCGGGAUGACGGCCUUCGGGUUGUAAACCGCUUUCGCCUGUGACGAAGCGUGAGUGACGGUAAUGGGUAAAGAAGCACCGGCUAACUACGUG